GGCGACUGGCUCCGUAGGCCCUCAG
This 25-nucleotide microRNA is filed under the name Canis lupus familiaris (dog). Its description in RNAcentral is "cfa-miR-8828". The record is from miRBase by way of RNAcentral. Lineage: Eukaryota; Metazoa; Chordata; Mammalia; Carnivora; Canidae.